This 697-nucleotide ribosomal RNA is filed under the name uncultured Actinomycetales bacterium. RNAcentral describes it as "bacterial SSU rRNA". It matches the Rfam family "Bacterial small subunit ribosomal RNA", at positions 61 to 771 of the family's 1533-position model. Lineage: Bacteria; Bacillati; Actinomycetota; Actinomycetes; Actinomycetales. The record is from RNAcentral.
GUCGAACGGAAAGGCCCUGCUUGCAGGGUACUCGAGUGGCGAACGGGUGAGUAACACGUGGGUGAUCUGCCCUGCACUUCGGGAUAAGCUUGGGAAACUGGGUCUAAUACCGGAUAGGAACCAUCUUUAGUGUGGUGGUUGGAAAGUCUUUUCGGUGUAGGAUGAGCUCGCGGCCUAUCAGCUUGUUGGUGGGGUAAUGGCCUACCAAGGCGGCGACGGGUAGCCGGCCUGAGAGGGUGUACGGCCACAUUGGGACUGAGAUACGGCCCAGACUCCUACGGGAGGCAGCAGUGGGGAAUAUUGCACAAUGGGCGCAAGCCUGAUGCAGCGACGCCGCGUGGGGGAUGAAGGCCUUCGGGUUGUAAACUCCUUUCGCUAGGGACGAAGCUUUUUGUGACGGUACCUAGAUAAGAAGCACCGGCUAACUACGUGCCAGCAGCCGCGGUAAUACGUAGGGUGCGAGCGUUGUCCGGAAUUACUGGGCGUAAAGGGCUCGUAGGUGGUUUGUCGCGUCGUCUGUGAAAUUCUGGGGCUUAACUCCGGGCGUGCAGGCGAUACGGGCAUAACUUGAGUGCUGUAGGGGUAACUGGAAUUCCUGGUGUAGCGGUGAAAUGCGCAGAUAUCAGGAGGAACACCGAUGGCGAAGGCAGGUUACUGGGCAGUUACUGACGCUGAGGAGCGAAAGCAUGGGUAGCGA